Molecule: long non-coding RNA, 859 nt
Organism: Entelurus aequoreus (snake pipefish)
Lineage: Eukaryota; Metazoa; Chordata; Actinopteri; Syngnathiformes; Syngnathidae
Exons: 5
Source: RefSeq, a predicted model, not a curated record
ACCACCAAACAUUUCGAAAAAUGUGACGGCUUCUCUACUCCAGAGUGAUGCAAAGUUUUGGUUUUGGAUUACCUGCUAGUCCAGGAGCCAAAGGUGGACCUGGAGUUAAAGACGAGCCUGGUCCCAGAGGUCAUGCCGGCAUGUCCGGUGACCCUUGACCUUUGGGAAGCAAAGGAGAGAGAGGAGCGAUGGGCGUUCCAGGUGCUCAAGGUCUGAGUGGAACCAAAGGAGACAAGGUGUCCCCCAGGGUUGGGUGCUUGGUCCACUUCUCUUCAUUGUACAUGCUCCCCCUCGGUAACAUCAUCCGCCGCCAUCACCUCCAAUUCCACUGCUACGCAGAUGAUGUCCAGCUACAUCUCCACAAAAUCUCUCCACCCUGACCGACUGCCUCACUGAAAUCAAAUCAUGGCUGCACUCCAACUUCCUCAAACUCAACUGACAAAUCUGACAUGCUCAUCGUGGGCCCCAAAUCCCUCACCAAAACUGCUCACAACUCUACUCUGUCCCCAUCCACUCACAUCCGCAACCUCGGAGUCAUUCUGGACAAUAAGCUCUCUUUUCAACACCGGGUCAACCACAUCACAAGAACUGCUUUCUUCCACCUCCAAAAUAUUGCCCGUCUCCGUCCAUCCUUCUCUGCCGCUGAAACCCUGAUCCAUGCCUUCAUCACCUCCACACUUGACUACUGUAACGGCAUCCUCUACGACUCAUCUUGCAAAAUUCUCAAACUCCAAUACGUUCAAAACUCUGCCGCCCGCCUGCUCAGCCACACCCGCUCCCGUGAGCACAUCACCCCAGUCCUCCAGAAACUCCACUGGCUCCCCAGUCCUCACCGGAUCCACUUUAAAUCCUCCUCCUC